UCAAAGCUGAGAGCAAG
This 17-nucleotide unclassified non-coding RNA is filed under the name Mus musculus (house mouse). Its description in RNAcentral is "oocyte_clustered_small_RNA2782". Lineage: Eukaryota; Metazoa; Chordata; Mammalia; Rodentia; Muridae. The record is from RNAcentral.